Molecule: long non-coding RNA, 228 nt
Filed under: Gossypium raimondii (Peruvian cotton)
Lineage: Eukaryota; Viridiplantae; Streptophyta; Magnoliopsida; Malvales; Malvaceae
Description: long non-coding RNA (GRAI_LNC004864)
Source: RNAcentral
CCCUAGUUGUCAUUGCUAACUCUACCAUCUCCGACGUUGAACCGCCAUUCAGAAACAUCUAAACAAAAGCCUAUAGUCCCUUUUAUGACUUUCACUCUACUCACCAUCACUCAUCACCAUCUCAAGACCUCACAGAUCACUGACCUCCCAUAUCCGCCACCACUCAUCAUUGUCACACUCACCUACACCAACUAUUAGAAGCCUAAACCUAUACCGAUAAAUCCCCAC